Ficedula albicollis (Collared flycatcher) is the source of this 4919-nucleotide long non-coding RNA. The record is from Ensembl. Lineage: Eukaryota; Metazoa; Chordata; Aves; Passeriformes; Muscicapidae.
GAGUCCAUAGUGGCCCAUACCGGUUUGUACUGGUCCAUACUGGUCCAUAUCGGUUUGUACUGGUCCGUACUGGUUUUUACUGGUCCAUACUGGUUUAUACUGGUCUGUACUGGUGCCUCUGACCCCUCUCUUUCCCCUCCAGAUGCCACCAGUCCCUUCCAUUAUGGUGAGUGGGGGGAACUGGGAGGGACUGGGAGGGACUGGGAAUGUCCCCAAGGUGUCCCCAGGUGUAUCUCAGGUGUCCCCAGGUGUAUCUCAGGUGUCUCCAAGCUGUCCCUCUGUGUCCCCUCCCCAGACUGGUGUCACCUGCGUGUUGGUGGCCUCGUGGUGGCCGCGGUGCUGAGCGCAGUUGGGAUCAUUAUCCUGUUCAGUGAGUGCCACACCUGUCACCUGUCAUUGUCACCUGUGUCACACCUUUGUCACACUUGUGUCACCUCUGUCACCUGUGUGUCACCUGUCAUUGUCACCUGUGUGUCAUUGUCGCUUGCGUGUCAUUGUCACCUGCAUGUCAUUGUCACCUGUUCAGUGAGUGCCACACCUGUGUCACCUGUGUCACACCUGUCAUUGUCACCUGUGUGUCACCUGCGUGUCAUUGUCACCUGUUCAGUGAGUGCCACACCUGUGUCACCUGUGUCACACCUGUCAUUGUCACCUGUGUGUCACCUGCGUGUCAUUGUCACCUGUUCAGUGAGUGCCACACCUGUGUCACCUGUGUCACACCUGUCAUUGUCACCUGUGUGUCACCUGCGUGUCAUUGUCACCUGUUCAGUGAGUGCCACACCUGUGUCACCUGUGUCACACCUGUCAUUGUCACCUGUGUGUCACCUGCGUGUCAUUGUCACCUGUUCAGUGAGUGCCACACCUGUGUCACCUGUGUCACACCUGUCAUUGUCACCUGUGUGUCACCUGCGUGUCAUUGUCACCUGUUCAGUGAGUGCCACACCUGUGUCACCUGUGUCACACCUGUCAUUGUCACCUGUGUGUCACCUGCGUGUCAUUGUCACCUGUUCAGUGAGUGCCACACCUGUGUCACCUGUGUCACACCUGUCAUUGUCACCUGUGUGUCACCUGCGUGUCAUUGUCACCUGUUCAGUGAGUGCCACACCUGUGUCACCUGUGUCACACCUGUCAUUGUCACCUGUGUGUCACCUGCGUGUCAUUGUCACCUGUUCAGUGAGUGCCACACCUGUUCACACCUGUGUUACCUGUGUGUCAUUGUCACCUGUGUCAUUGUCACCAGUGUCACACCUGUGUCAUUGUCACCUGUGUGUCAUUGUCACCUGUGUCACACUGGCAUUGUCAUCUGUGUCACCUGUGUCACCUGUCAUUGUCACGUGUGUGUCAUUGUUGCCUGCGUCACACCUGUGUUACCUGUGUGUCAUUGUCACCUGUGUCAUUGUCACCAGUGUCACACCUGUGUCAUUGUCACCUGUGUGUCAUUGUCACCUGUGUCACACCUGUGUCAUUGUCCCCUGUGUCACCUUUGUGUCCUCUCAGGUGGGAUGUGCAAGUGCCGGAGCAAGGCCAGCCGCCGAUGCCCGUCCCCGGAGCUGUCACCUGUACCUGGGACAGGAGCCACCAGCUCGUGCUGAGCUGUCCCCAAGUGUCCCCAAAAUGUCCUGAAAUGUCCCCAAAAUGUCCCCAGAAAAGGACGAUGAAUAAAAUUGGGUGGAAAAAAAAGGAUUUUGGUCCUUGGGGGAGGGGCAGCAGCACCGCGGGGACAGUGGGGGGGACACGGGAACAGCAGGAGGGGAUGUUGGGUGAUGAUGGCACUGGGAGGGGACACAAAGACAGAGGUGACACUAGGGUGACAAUGGCCUUGGGGACAUCGGGUCAGUGGUGGCACCAGGAAGGGACAUUGGGUGAUGGUGGCCUUGGGGACAUUUGGGUGACAGUGGCUUUGGGGACAUCAAUUCACUGGUGGCCUUGGGGACAUCAGAGGGAUGGUGACACCAGCAGAGGACACGAGACCAAUGGUGACAUUGAGUGAUGAUGGCCUUGGGGACAUCGGGUAAUGGUGGCACAAGAAAGUGACACAAAGCCAAUGGUGACAUGGGGGUGACAGUGGUGGCCUUGGGGACAUUGAUUCACUGAUGGCCUUGGGGACUUUUGGGUGACAGUGGCCUUAGGGACAUCGAGGCCAUGGUGGCACCAGAAGAGGACACAAGACCAAUUGAUGACACUGAGGUGACAGUGGUGGCCUUGGGGGACAUCUGGGUGACAGUGGCUUUGGGGACAUCGGGUUGCUGGUAGCCUUGGGGCCAGCACGGAGAUGGUGGCACCAGGAGGGGACACUGGGGGUGAUGGUGGCCUUGGGGACAUCAGGGUGACAGUGGUGGCCUUGGAGACACCAGAGUCAUGGUGGCACCAGGAGGGGACACUGGGUCCAUGAUGGUGGCCUUGGGGACUUUGAGGCAUUGCUGACACCAGGAAGGGACACUGGGGUGACAGUGGCCUUGGGGACAUCACAGCGAUGGUGGCACCAGGAGGGGACACUGGGUCAGUGGUGGCCUUGGGGACAUUGGGUCAACAGUGGCACCAGGAGAGGACAUGGGGGUGACAGUGGAGACAUUGAGGCAAUGGUGGCACGAGAAGAGGACACGAGACCAAUGAUGGCACUCAAGUGACAGUGGUGGCCUUGGGGGCAUGGGUGACAGUGGCACUGGGAAGGGACAUCUGGGUGACAGUGGCUUUGGGGACAUUGGGUCACUGUUGGCUGUGGUGACAUCAGGGUGACAGUGGCCUUGGGGACAUCACAGCAAUGGUGGCACCAGAAGAGGACACGAGACCAAUGAUGACACUCAAAUGACAGUGGUGGCUUUGGUGACAUUGGGUGAUGGUGGCACUGGGAGGGGACAUUGGGGUGACAGUGGUGGUCUUGGGGACAUCUCAGCAGUGGUGGCACUGGGAGGGGACAUUGAUGUGAUGAUGGCCUUGGGGACACUGGGGUGAUGGUGGCACAGGAAAGUGACACAAAGCCAAUGGUGACAUCAGGGUGACAGUGGCACUGGGAGGGGACAUCGGGUUGCUGGUGGCCUUGGAUCUAGCAGAGAUGGUGGCAGGGGACACUGGGGGUGAUGGUGGCCUUGGGGACAUCAAUUUACUGGUGGCCUUGGGGACAUUAGAGCAAUGGUGGCACCAGGUAGGGACAUCGGUCAGUGGUGGCCUUGGGGACAUCGGGGUAAUGGUGGCACAAGAAAGUGACACAAAGCCAAUGGUGACAUCAGGGUGAUGGUGGCUUUGGGGACAUCAAGGAGAUGGUGGCACCGGGAGGGGACACUGAGGUGACAGUGGUGGCCUUGGGGACAUCAGGGCCUUGGCGGCACCAGGUGGUGUCAUGGAGCCAUGGGUGACAUUGAGGGAUAGUGGCCUUGGGGACAGCAGGGUGAUGGUGGCACCAGGAGGGGACAUUUGGUGCUGGUGGCCUUGGGGACAUCAGGUCAAUGAUUGUGGCCUUGGCGACAGCCAAGGGUGAUGGUGACACCAGGAGGUGACAUCGGGUCAAUGGUGGCCUUGGGGACAUUGGGUGAACAGUGGGACCAGGAGGGGACAUCGGGUUGACAGUGGCCUUGGAGACAUCGUGUCAUGGUGGCUCCAGGUCCCCACCGGUGUCCAGUCGAUGUCCCUGCGCCCCUCAGGCUGCCACCACAUGUCUCCACGGUGUCCCCUCAUGUCCCCAUCUCCACGGUAACCAUUGUCCCCACACCCUCUCAAUGUCCCCUCAGGUCCCAAUGUCCUUGGUCAUGUGGUGGCCACUGUCCCCUGAUGUCUCCAAUGUCCCCUCAUGUCCUGAUGUCCUCGGUGACAUGGUGGCCACUGUCCCCCAAUGUCCUCAGCUGUACCUGAUGUCCCCAGCUGUACCCCAUGUCCCCUAGGUCCUGAUGUCCUCGGUGAUGUGGUGGCCACUGUCCCCGCUGUUCCCACUGUUACUGAUGUCCCCGAUGUCCCUCAUGUCCUGAUGUCCUCGGUGAUGUGGUGGCCGCUGUCCCCAGCUGUCCCCAAUGUCCCCACGUUCUCGGUGACAUGGUGGCCACUGUCCCCUGAUGUCCCUAGCUGUCCCCAAUGUCCCCUAGGUCCCAAUGUCCUUGGUGACGUGGUGGCCACUGUUCCCACUGUCCCCUCAUGUCCUGAUGUCCCCAUCUGUCCCCAAUGUCCCUCACAUCCCAACGUCCUCGGUGACGUGGCCACUGUCCCCUGAUGUCCCCCGAUGUCCCCAUCUGUCCCCGAUGUCCCCUCAGGUCCCAGUGUCCCCAGUGACGUGGUGGCUUCCGUCCCCCAAUGUCCCCAUCUGUCCCAUCUGUUCCCUCAUGUCCCGGUGUCCUUGGUGAUGUGGUGGCCACUGUUCCCAUCUGUCCCCACUGUCCCUGAUAUCCCCUAGGUGCUGAUGUCCUUGGUGACAUGAUGGCCACUAUCUUAGCUGUCCCCAAUGUCCCCUGAUGUCCCAGUGCCCAUGGUGACGUGGUGGCCACUGUUCCCCAAUGUCCCCAUUCCCUCACAUCCCGACAUCCUCGGUGGGGAUAUGGUGGCCACUGUCCCCAUCUGUCCCUUGUGUCCCGAUGUCCCCAGCUGUUCCCGAUGUCCCCACUGUCCCCUGAUGUCCCCAUUGUCCCCUCAUGUCCCCACAUCCUCGGUGACAUGCACGUAGAUCUGUGUGGCGCCCUUGAAGCUGGUGGCCAGUAGGAAGUGCCGCUGGCCGGCGGCGAGCGGGACGAAGGCGCGGGGCGUGGGCGCGGGCAGCUCCUGGCCAGGCUCGAGGCGGCCGCCGGGGCCCAGCCGGAACACGCGGCUCGGCGCGAAGUCGUUUCCCAGCAGGACGUAGCGCUGGCCCGCCAGGAGCAGCGGCUGGGAAAGGGGGGGGGGGGGGGGGGGGGGGGGGGGGGGGGGGGGGGGGGGGGGGGGGGGGGGGGGGGGGGGGGGGG